This is a long non-coding RNA of Salvelinus namaycush (lake trout), 603 nucleotides long. RefSeq lists it as uncharacterized. Lineage: Eukaryota; Metazoa; Chordata; Actinopteri; Salmoniformes; Salmonidae. The record is from RefSeq and is a predicted model, not a curated record. The transcript is spliced from 4 exons.
CGGCGUUUUGCCAGGAGUAAAGGGACAGUUUUACUGCAAUGCUUUCUCCAUAGCUCCGAGUGAGAGCAAGUUACUCGGGAGAAAGGGUGGUGCCUUGCUUUUGCCUGGCCGCACCGUGAACUAGCAACGUCCAUGCGCGUUUGCUUAUUUGAAAUCGGACCGAGCCAAUUGAGGAAGUCGAGGCAGGUGUCAUUCGGAAUUGUUCUUGACAAAAGGGUAUACGCUGUCCAUUUUCUCGUCUCAUAUCAGAUUUGUAUGGACUUUAAUUCCGGUCAAGCAGGCUCCUGUCGACUAGGUUGAUACAGUAUUUUGUUGCAGAGCGAAUUUCUUCAGAUGUCUCCGCGUUCGCAUUGAGGAACGGACAGACUAGACUCUGGAUUUAAAGCCUGAGGUGGAGUGUGGAAUUGAGAUCGCCGAUGUCCGUCUCUCCCAAAUAAGUCUCCCUGCUUUUGAUUUUUAUGACGGAAAGUGUACCCAGCGACGGUAGAACUGUUAGGAGACCUCUUCGACAUGAAUACAGAUAGCGGAGGACGCACGCGCAAAAGCGCCGCCUUGCUAGUCACCCGCUCCCACAUGAAGCGGGUCCAGAGUGUCCCGAAUCUG